RNAcentral lists this non-coding RNA (29 nucleotides) under Mus musculus (house mouse). Lineage: Eukaryota; Metazoa; Chordata; Mammalia; Rodentia; Muridae. The record is from RNAcentral.
UGUCCAUUUGUGAUGCAAAAGGGUAUGUA